RNAcentral lists this long non-coding RNA (535 nucleotides) under Malus domestica (apple). RNAcentral describes it as "long non-coding RNA (MDOM_LNC021244)". The record is from RNAcentral. Lineage: Eukaryota; Viridiplantae; Streptophyta; Magnoliopsida; Rosales; Rosaceae.
UUUGUAUUAAAAAAAAAAAAAAAAAAAAAAAAAAAGAGAAGAAAAGAAAAAGAAAAAGAAAGAUUGUACACAAAGAAAAUAAAAAGUUGUUCAAGUUUCAGUUUAAGGGUGUGAUUGGAGGUUUCAGAAGAAUCGUUGGAGAGCUUGAGUUCUUAUAAAUCUAGACAAAAGAAUUGCUUGCAAUGUAGCUUGGAACUUGUGUUUUCCUAUUCUUUCAUUUCAAUAACCCUAUCCCUAAGCCUCAUUACAUCCAAUAAAAGUCCUCUUGAUUUAAGUUUUUGCAAUUAUGACUGGAGAAGUGAUCUUUAUGCAAGCUUAUGGUAGAAAUUUCACAUUUGAUUCUUUGAGCGAAACACAUUAAAACUAAACACAUGUGUGAUUGAGUGCAUAUCCCGUGAGAAGGUCGCUAGUUUGCAUAUGAUGAUUUUAAAAAAUAAAAACUUGAAAUUGCAUUAGCAUGGCUAUCUCACACACUACACUUCAAGGAUGAUUUAAAGAUUACUGCUAAUAUUUGAAUAAGGAAGAUGAACUUGGA